UUGGUGACAGCGGAGGGAUCAUUA
RNAcentral lists this ribosomal RNA (24 nucleotides) under Trichothecium roseum. RNAcentral describes it as "partial 18S ribosomal RNA". Lineage: Eukaryota; Fungi; Ascomycota; Sordariomycetes; Hypocreales. The record is from RNAcentral.